UCGAAAAACAAGCAUGGCGAGUUGUCGCUGGCCCAUACCAGGGUCGUGCACGCUCGUCGUUCUUCAUUUCUCCAUCUAUUUGUGCACCUCUUGUGUGGAUCCAUGUUCCUUUGGGGACGAUGGGGGACUGCUUCGCAAUGCCUUUGUGAGACGAACGUCUGAUAACCUUCUUCGCGAAUGCGAUAAAGUA
Molecule: unclassified non-coding RNA, 190 nt
Filed under: uncultured Inocybe
Lineage: Eukaryota; Fungi; Basidiomycota; Agaricomycetes; Agaricales; Cortinariaceae
Description: sequence contains ITS1
Source: RNAcentral